UACAGAGGUCUCAAGCGUUGUUCGGAUUCAUUGGGCGUAAAGGGUGCGUAGGCGGCGCGGUAAGUCGGGUGUGAAAUCUUGGAGCUUAACUCCGAAACUGCAUUCGAUACUGCCGUGCUUGAGGACUGGAGAGGAGACUGGAAUUUACGGUGUAGCGGUGAAAUGCGCAGAUAUCAGGAGGAACACCGAUGGCGAAGGCGGGUCUCUGGACAGUUCCUGACACUGAGGCACGAAGGCCAGGGGAGCAAACGGG
RNAcentral lists this ribosomal RNA (253 nucleotides) under uncultured bacterium. RNAcentral describes it as "partial 16S ribosomal RNA". It matches the Rfam family "Bacterial small subunit ribosomal RNA", at positions 524 to 776 of the family's 1533-position model. The record is from RNAcentral.